GGAAGUGCUGUAGCUCAGUGGUAGAUCAUCUGCUUUGCAUGCAGAAGGACCCAGGUUAAAUCCUUUCUUACCUCCU
Non-coding RNA from Podarcis lilfordi (Lilford's wall lizard), 76 nucleotides. Lineage: Eukaryota; Metazoa; Chordata; Lepidosauria; Squamata; Lacertidae. The record is from the annotation of a GenBank genome assembly.